CAAAAGAAGUAGGUAGCUUAACCUUCGGGGGGGCGCUUACCACUUUGUGAUUCAUGACUGGGGUGAAGUCGUAACAAGGUAACCGUAGGGGAACCUGCGGUUGGAUCACCUCCUUACCUUAAAGAAGC
Molecule: ribosomal RNA, 128 nt
Filed under: Salmonella enterica subsp. enterica serovar Typhi str. 404ty
Lineage: Bacteria; Pseudomonadati; Pseudomonadota; Gammaproteobacteria; Enterobacterales; Enterobacteriaceae
Description: partial 16S ribosomal RNA
Rfam family: Bacterial small subunit ribosomal RNA
Source: RNAcentral